UAGAGGCAGCAGUAGAGAAUCUUGUGCAAUAAACGAAAGUAUGACACAGAGAGGACACAUUUAAUUGAGCCCGUCAAAUUAAGUGCCAGCCGACGCGGUUAAACUUAAGGGCUGGUCUUUAUAAGUAAAAAGGCGUAAAGGAUGUGUAGGCCAAGAAACGACCCAAGUAGGUAAAUGGAAUUUUUCUGGAGCGGUAGAAUGUGAGGAUAGAAAAUAGAACCCCUAAGGUAAAAACUAUUUACCACAAGGUAGGCUGAAACAUGAGAGUGUGGGGAGCAAACAGGAUUAGAGACCCUGGUAGUCCACACUGUGAACUUUGAAGAUGAUGCUUAGCAGACCCGAAAGGUAAAUCUUCCGCCUGAGUAGAACGAUCGCAAGAUUAAAAUUCAAAAACUUUGGCUGUUCACUAUUUCGAUUAGAGGAGCGUGUAGUUUAAUUCGAUGGUCCGCGUGUUACCUUACCCCAACUUGAAUCUGUGACCGGUAUUGCAUGGCCGUCGUAAGUUCGUGUAUUAAGCUAGAAGGGACCCAACCCGGGCAUUUGCCCGGAGGAAGUCAGGUCUUAUGAUCCGAAUGUUGGGGGAUUUUAUGCGCUACAUUUUCUUAUAUAAUGGGAAACCUGGAAGGUGAGCCUCUAAAGUAAGAGUUCGGAAGGUCGCUGUAAGACGACUGGAAGUUGGAUUUAAUAGUAAUCGGAAAGUAGGGCGUUCCGGUGAAUUGGUACAAGUGUUAGCACAAAUUGCCCGUCACCUUUACCUAGAAUGGUUAUUCGGACGUCUUCGGUGAUUACGAAUGCCUACGAGGUAAAC
This 808-nucleotide ribosomal RNA is filed under the name Isotealia antarctica. Its description in RNAcentral is "partial 12S ribosomal RNA". It matches the Rfam family "Bacterial small subunit ribosomal RNA", at positions 343 to 1481 of the family's 1533-position model. Lineage: Eukaryota; Metazoa; Cnidaria; Anthozoa; Actiniaria; Actiniidae. The record is from RNAcentral.